AUUGAACGCUGGCGGAAUGCUUUACACAUGCAAGUCGAACGGCAGCACGGACUUCGGUCUAGUGGCGAGUGGCGAACGGGUGGGUAAUGUAUCGGAACGUGCCCAGUCGUGGGGGAUAACGUAGUGAAAAUUACGCUAAUACCGCAUACGAUCUAUGGAUGAAAGCGGGGGAUCGCAAGACCUCGCGCGAUUGGAGCGGCCGAUAUCAGAUUAGGUAGUUGGUGGGGUAAAGGCCCACCAAGCCAACGAUCUGUAGCUGGUCUGAGAGGACGACCAGCCACACUGGAACUGAGACACGGUCCAGACUCCUACGGGAGGCAGCAGUGGGGAAUUUUGGACAAUGAGCGAAAGCCUGAUCCAGCCAUUCCGCGUGCAGGAUGAAGGCCCUCGGGUUGUAAACUGCUUUUGUACAGGACGAAAAGGUUUCUACUAAUACUAGGAGCUCAUGACGGUACUGUAAGAAUAAGCACCGGCUAACUACGUGCCAGCCGCCGCCGUAA
This 500-nucleotide ribosomal RNA is filed under the name uncultured bacterium. RNAcentral's name for it is "partial 16S ribosomal RNA". It matches the Rfam family "Bacterial small subunit ribosomal RNA", at positions 30 to 523 of the family's 1533-position model. The record is from RNAcentral.